AGAUUGAACGCUGGCGGCAGGCCUAACACAUGCAAGUCGAGCGGCAGCACGGGUACUUGUACCUGGUGGCGAGCGGCGGACGGGUGAGUAAUGCCUAGGAAUCUGCCUGAUAGUGGGGGAUAACGCUCGGAAACGGACGCUAAUACCGCAUGCGCCCUUCGGGGGAAAGCCGGGGACCAGCAAUGGCCUGGCGCUGAUAGAUGAGCCGAUGUCGGAUUAGCUAGCUGGUGAGGUAAUGGCUCACCAAGGCGACGAUCCGUAGCUGGUCUGAGAGGAUGAUCAGCCACACUGGAACUGAGACACGGUCCAGACUCCGUACGGGAGCAGCAGUGGGGAAUAGUUGGACAAGUGGGCGCAAG
This 359-nucleotide ribosomal RNA is filed under the name uncultured soil bacterium. RNAcentral describes it as "bacterial SSU rRNA". It matches the Rfam family "Bacterial small subunit ribosomal RNA", at positions 26 to 381 of the family's 1533-position model. The record is from RNAcentral.